Molecule: ribosomal RNA, 468 nt
Filed under: uncultured bacterium
Lineage: Bacteria
Description: partial 16S ribosomal RNA
Rfam family: Bacterial small subunit ribosomal RNA
Source: RNAcentral
GACGAACGCUGGCGGCGUGCUUAACACAUGCAAGUCGAACGGUGAAGCUCCAGCUUGCUGGAGUGGAUCAGUGGCGAACGGGUGAGUAACACGUGAGCAACCUGCCCCUGACUCUGGAAUAAGCGCUGGAAACGGCGUCUAAUACUGGAUACGAGAAGGGUCCGCAUGGGCACUUUCUGGAAAGUUUUUCGGUUGGGGAUGGGCUCGCGGCCUAUCAGCUUGUUGGUGAGGUAAUGGCUCACCAAGGCGACGACGGGUAGCCGGCCUGAGAGGGCGACCGGCCACACUGGGACUGAGACACGGCCCAGACUCCUACGGGAGGCAGCAGUGGGGAAUAUUGCACAAUGGGCGAAAGCCUGAUGCAGCGACGCCGCGUGAGGGAUGACGGCCUUCGGGUUGUAAACCUCUUUCAGCAGGGAAGAAGCGAAAGUGACGGUACCUGCAAAAGAAGCACCGGCUAACUACGUG